GAUGAACACUGGCGGCGUGCCUAACACAUGCAAGUCGAGCGAUUCUCUUCGGAGAAGAGCGGCGGACGGGUGAGUAACGCGUGGGUAACCUGCCCUGUACACACGGAUAACAUACCGAAAGGUAUGCUAAUACGAGAUAAUAUACUUUUAUCGUAUGGUAGAAGUAUCAAAGCUCCGGCGGUACAGGAUGGACCCGCGUCUGAUUAGCUAGUUGGUAAGGUAACGGCUUACCAAGGCGACGAUCAGUAGCCGACCUGAGAGGGUGAUCGGCCACAUUGGAACUGAGACACGGUCCAAACUCCUACGGGAGGCAGCAGUGGGGAAUAUUGCACAAUGGGCGAAAGCCUGAUGCAGCAACGCCGCGUGAGCGAUGAAGGCCUUCGGGUCGUAAAGCUCUGUCCUCAAGGAAGAUAAUGACGGUACUUGAGGAGGAAGCCCCGGCUAACUACGUGCCAGCAGCCGCCGUAA
RNAcentral lists this ribosomal RNA (468 nucleotides) under uncultured bacterium. Its description in RNAcentral is "partial 16S ribosomal RNA". It matches the Rfam family "Bacterial small subunit ribosomal RNA", at positions 28 to 523 of the family's 1533-position model. The record is from RNAcentral.